Coturnix japonica (Japanese quail) is the source of this 1664-nucleotide long non-coding RNA. Lineage: Eukaryota; Metazoa; Chordata; Aves; Galliformes; Phasianidae. The record is from Ensembl.
AUGAAUGAGAUAAAGAAGGGAUGGCCUGUUCAAUCUCACAUCAUCCAGCAAACCUAUAAAAGCAGAAAGAAACCAGAGACCAAUAGGGUAAAAGAGAUUUCUAAAGGACUUAUUGAGGAAAGGACAUGUAUUGAUUCUCAGCUCCACUGGGCAGCUUUCACCAGACACAGACCAUCAAACAGUGUACCUUGUUGUUUCCAACAAACCCACAACCUGACAGAACUGAGAAUAUCUGCGCUUCUCUGCAAAAUGAAGAAUGAUGGAUGAAAGAAAACCUGAUUUGGCCAGAAAGGUAUCCUAUACCACCAAGGGAAUUGGACUCCAGUUUGGCAGUUACCAAAGGUAACUUGCUUCUCCAAAGUGUUUUCCAUUCUGAAGGGCUCAGCAACCGCUACACCUCCCCUGCUUUCCACUCUUCUGUCUUUUCUCUUGCCAUGUCUAUAUUUAUUAUCAAGCAGGAAAUCAAUCUUUACUCCUACAGUCCUGAACUGAAAGAUGAGUAAGAGAAUUAAGCCUUUCUUGUUGCUAAGGACUUCUGGCUAGCAUAAUGGAUUCUAAACAAAUAACCUGCAUCUGGUAGAAGGACUCUGACAUAUUUUGAUUAAGUUAUUCUUGUUUAACCAUUUGUUUUCAAUUUUCAAAUGCUUUGUGUUUUGUUUUUGUAAGUACUAAUCAGUAUACUUUCCAGCUUUAGCAUGAAUUUCUUGUGCAGCUACUGUGUGACUGAGCAGGCUGAGCUCUCUGUACUUAAAACCACAAACCGUGUUAAAUGGUUUAACACUUUAGAUUGGUUAGAUUACAUGAACACCUAAGACUGAAUUCUCAUUUAUUCCAUUGAAACUAACUCAGUGUGGCUGGUUACAUAUGACUAUUGUUGCUUCUGGUGCUGCUCUUUAUUAAAGAUAUGCUUGCUCUAAAAUUCUAAACCCCUCCCUGCAUCGCUAUAUAACGUCUAGGGUAACAAGUAGAAAGAAAAAUACAAGCUCUCUUAUUUUUAGCUUAUUUGUCCAUGUAGGUGUCAAAGUAAAACGUCAAGAAGACACAACUAAAUACUGAUGCUUUGGCAAACCACUGAUGAAGGAAAAAAUGGAGGUACUGGAGGCUUUUACCUGUUACUGCAUUUAACAUCACUGGAUUGUGAGAAAAAUGUAAGUUAAAACACAAUAUAUUAUAGAGAUAGUAGAGCAUCUGUAACCAGCAAUAUUUCACUCGGGAUAAAUGAUCAUGUCCUGUUCUCAAUGAAAAGAAGCUUGGGAGCCCAUGGAAUGGCAGAAGAUGAAUCUCUGUUUCCUUUUACAUGUCCUUUCAAGGUGAAAGAGGUCAAAUCAAGCAGUCUCUAAGCUUAUAAAUCACUCUGCUAGGCUAGUUUAAAAUAUCAUUCUACAGAAACAUAGGUGACAAGUUUCUAAAAUGAAGAUAAAAGAAUUUGCUGUCAAGGAUUUGAUUUGUUGAAGGCUUUCAGCAAGGGCUUUGGACAGGAAGGGAAAGAAGAAAUGCUAAAGAAAAUAGGAAAAUCUCUGGAGAGUAGAGUUGUUAAGUCUAGAAAACUGAAGAAGCCCUGGGAUCCUACAGCAUAGGAUUUGUGACAAAAGAUGGGACUGGAAGAAAAAUGAUGAAAUACAAUUGCAAAUAAAGUGCAAAACAUCUUUUUUUUUUUUUUUUUU